AGAGUUUGAUCCUGGCUCAGAUUGAACGCUGGCGGAAUGCUUUACACAUGCAAGUCGAACGGCAGCACGGGGGCAACCUUGGUGGCGAGUGGCGAACGGGUGAGUAAUACAUCGGAACGUGCCCAGUCGUGGGGGAUAACUACGCGAAAGCGUAGCUAAUACCGCAUACGAUCUACGGAUGAAAGCGGGGGAUCGCAAGACCUCGCGCGAUUGGAGCGGCCGAUGGCAGAUUAGGUAGUUGGUGGGGUAAAGGCUCACCAAGCCUGCGAUCUGUAGCUGGUCUGAGAGGACGACCAGCCACACUGGGACUGAGACACGGCCCAGACUCCUACGGGAGGCAGCAGUGGGGAAUUUUGGACAAUGGGCGCAAGCCUGAUCCAGCCAUUCCGCGUGCAGGAUGAAGGCCUUCGGGUUGUAAACUGCUUUUGUACGGAACGAAAAAGCCUCUUCUAAUACAGGAGGUCCAUGACGGUACCGUAAGAAUAAGCACCGGCUAACUACGUGCCAGCAGCCGCGGUAAUACGUAGGGUGCGAGCGUUAAUCGGAAUUACUGGGCGUAAAGCGUGCGCAGGCGGUGAUGUAAGACAGAUGUGAAAUCCCCGGGCUCAACCUGGGAACUGCAUUUGUGACUGCAUCGCUGGAGUGCGGCAGAGGGGGAUGGAAUUCCGCGUGUAGCAGUGAAAUGCGUAGAUAUGCGGAGGAACACCGAUGGCGAAGGCAAUCCCCUGGGCCUGCACUGACGCUCAUGCACGAAAGCGUGGGGAGCAAACAGGAUUAGAUACCCUGGUAGUCCACGCCCUAAACGAUGUCAACUGGUUGUUGGGUCUUCACUGACUCAGUAACGAAGCUAACGCGUGAAGUUGACCGCCUGGGGAGUACGGGCCGCAAGGUUGAAACUCAAAUGAAUUGACGG
Molecule: ribosomal RNA, 913 nt
Filed under: uncultured bacterium
Lineage: Bacteria
Description: bacterial SSU rRNA
Rfam family: Bacterial small subunit ribosomal RNA
Source: RNAcentral